RNAcentral lists this unclassified non-coding RNA (235 nucleotides) under uncultured fungus. RNAcentral describes it as "sequence contains ITS1". Lineage: Eukaryota; Fungi. The record is from RNAcentral.
GUUUCAGUUUGUUAUCCAGCGGUCAGACCGCCUUCAGUUCAUUCUUUAAAUAAGUGUUUGUAUAAAGCGGAACGGCGCAGGCGUUAACCCGGGCCAUCCCGAAAGGUUCACAGGGGUUUGGUUUGGACGAGUGCACGCGCGGUCCCCGCAACACGGCGUUUCCACCGGUGCUGAGGGCCGCGGCGCCCCGGAUGAAGUUUCAAUAAUGAUCCUUCCGCAGGUUCACCUACGGAAA